AUGAACGCUGGCGGCGUGCCUAAUACAUGCAAGUCGAGCGAACAGACGAGGAGCUUGCUCCUCUGACGUUAGCGGCGGACGGGUGAGUAACACGUGGAUAACCGACCUAUAAUACUGGGAUAACUUCGGGAAACCGGAGCUAAUACCGGAUAAUAUAUUGAACCGCAUGGUUCAAUAGUGAAAGACGGUUUUGCUGUCACUUAUAGAUGGAUCCGCGCCGCAUUAGCUAGUUGGUAAGGUAACGGCUUACCAAGGCGACGAUGCGUAGCCGACCUGAGAGGAUGAUCAGCCACACUGGAACUGAGACACGGUCCAGACUCCUACGGGAGGCAGCAGUAGGGAAUCUUCCGCAAUGGGCGAAAGCCUGACGGAGCAACGCCGCGUGAGUGAUGAAGGUCUUCGGAUCGUAAAGCUCUGUUAUUAGGGAAGAACAAAUGUGUAAGUAACUAUGCACGUCUUGACGGUACCUAAUGAGAAAGCCACGGCUAACUACGUG
Molecule: ribosomal RNA, 496 nt
Filed under: uncultured bacterium
Lineage: Bacteria
Description: partial 16S ribosomal RNA
Rfam family: Bacterial small subunit ribosomal RNA
Source: RNAcentral